GAGGCGCGGCAAGAACCUCCCGUUUCCGGCCUGUCACGCCGGAGGUUGCGGGUUCGAGCCCCGUCAUCCUCU
This 72-nucleotide transfer RNA is filed under the name Isosphaeraceae bacterium. RNAcentral describes it as "tRNA-Ser". Lineage: Bacteria; Pseudomonadati; Planctomycetota; Planctomycetia; Isosphaerales; Isosphaeraceae. The record is from RNAcentral.